AAAAUCCCUGCCUAAAAGGAUGACUUUUUUACUACCUAAAAUUCCUUAUAUUCCUAAAUACUUUGCUGAGGUCAGCCACCACGAGGGAGACAGGCAGAACAGUAGAAAGGUGUAGGUUUGGGAGUCAGGCCACCUGGGACCAAAUCACAGCUGAGUUUGUAAAUUUGGAUGAGUUAUGAACUCUCUUAGGGCUUCGCUUUCCUCAUUUGUAAAAUGAAGAUAAUAAAAAUACCUAUUUCAGUGCAGUGUUGUUGUGAGGAUUAAGUGAGACAAUUUAUUGAACCUCCAGAAUAUAUUAGCUCUGAGUCUAUGAAGCUCUGGGCAACUGAGUACAUUGAAGCUAUUAUAGUUGAUGGAAAAGAAUUUUGGUGAGAGGAAGGAAAGGAAGAUUCUGCAAGAAGAACAGAACUGAAGAGAAUGCCAGGCCUGGUGCCUGGGCAGCCUAUCUCCAGGCUGAAGACAAAAGGCUUGGGAAAGGGGGAUUUGGACAGAAGAGUCUCAGGGAAGUAGAGGACACACACCUGCUCUGCCACCCUCAGCACAACACCUGGCAUGGUGCCAGGUCAUCAGGAAACCCACCUGCAGGGUGGUGCUUGCAGAGCCCUUCGUAUGGGCUUCCUGGUGCCAUCUUCCCCGGCAGCGAACCGUUCCCCACCCAAGAGCUAACCUGCCUCCGUUCCCCACCUCCAGCUCUGUCUGUCUCCACACCAAGACUCAACCAGAGCAAAAUGCUAAAAGGGCAAUUUCUGUGGCACUGUAAAAGUGAAAAGCACCAGAGUAAUUUACAAUGCCUCCAUUUUCCUCUGUGCCUUUUAAGAAAAGCAUCGUUUUAUUCCUUUGGGGUUCACAUUGUUAUUCCUUCAUUAUUCUCUGUUUGGAGUAGUAAAUGAACACAGAACUGCACGGCAGAGGAAAUAAACAAAUUGCAAAGUUCCUGGCCAUCGAAAAACUUGAAGUGUAGUAGCGUGAGUGGCAUAAAUAAUAAUUCAAUACAGAAUGGGGACAAGGCGAUGAGUGGCUUUUACCAACGAUGUCCUCUGUGGACCAUGUGGGGUUUCAGGAGCAGCAAAAUAUAGCGGAAGCAAGAAAACACAAAUUGGCAUAUGUUUUAAAUAAAAGGGAAAAAUGGGGCGGGGUGGGGGAGAAGUUACAACAUUAAGAUUUUACAAUAAAGAAGAUAGAGAACUGAGAAUUUUCUGGAUUGGAUAAAAGGACUCAAGGGAAAAAAUAAGAUAAAAUAUGGGGGCAAUAUAAUGGUAGCAGUUUUGGUUUUCAGACAAAGAAACAGGAUCUUCAUGUAAGUUCAGAGAUAUUGAGUGUUAGAUGGCAGUGUGGGAACAGGUUGUACAACCCAGCCAGAAAUAGCUGGCCCAGCGGGUAGAGCCUGGGCCUGGGAAGUGUAGCAGCACCAACGAUAACCAAACUCUACUCUUGGAAAGAGCUGCUUCUAUCCUGAGAGGAGAGACUGUGCCCUGGGGACAGGCAGGGCACCAGGGGUGACAGGAGCAGGAAGGGGCCUGGGGCUUCAGAGCUGAGUCUUGUGUUAAAAUAUUCCUGCCCCUGUGGUCUUCAUGAUUGGAGCACCUCCUUCUGCUUUCUCACACCCAGUCUAAGCUACAAGGCAGAGAAUGGACACGCUAACAAACUGCCACUUCGCUAUGGUUUUGCUGCCUUGCCUUUGAUAAUCUCUGUGUGUCAGAGUCCUUUUUGGAAGCAAUGCCUAUCCUCCUAUGUGAGUAAUGCAUGUAAAGCAGCCCAGCCCUAAAAUGGUGCUGGCCAGGGAGCUGAUGGCCAUCGACAGGAGACCUCUAUUACCAGUUAGGCCUUGGGGGCUUCAGGGAAUAUCCAGGCCUCUAAGCUAUAAAGAAAAACAGGACCUUGAAUGAAGCCAGAGGACUGCUUCUCUCUCUGUGAAGCGCCUCUUCCAUUUAAACAUCCAACACAUGAGAUUCAGGUAUGGGAAACCACAGAGGAAGAGCAGGUAAUAGGUAAAAUAAUAUUUAUUUCUUCUUCCAGUGCUUUCUGGCUUCAAAAUUUCUUCUAUUCAUAGGUAGAGUUGCAAUGAAGCUGGUAAAAAUGAGCCCCCAUGGGAAAAUCCAAUAGGAAGUAUUGCCAAGCUAUGCUUCAAAAUACUAUCUGUAAAAUUUCUCAAAACUCUAGAGUUUGAGACCAGGAGUUUGAGACCAGCUUGGACAACAUAGUGAGACCCUGUCAAAAGAAACAAGGAAGGAAGGAAGGAAGGAAGGAAGGAAGGAAAGAAAGAAAGAAAGAAAGAAAGAAAGAAAGAAAGAAAGAAAGAAAGAAAGAAAAAGAAAGAAAGAUAGAAAGAAAGAAGGAAGGAAGGAAGGAAAGAAAGAAAGAUAGAAAGAAAGAAGGAAGGAAGAAAGGAAAGAAAGAAAGAAAGAAAGAAAGAAAGAAAGAAAAAGAAAGAAAGAAAGAUGUAGCCAAGUGUGGUGGUGCACAUCUGUGUCUCAAAACAAAACAACAACAACAACAAAACCCCAAAAAACCAAUAGCCACUGCUUAGCUCUUCUAAGUCUAAGGACCUGCACUCCAGCUGGAAAUGGUUCUGGGCUGGGGAGGAACAGGGCAAAGGUCCAGAGAAACAGCCCCUCACACGGAAUCUCUUACUGGGUGAGGGGGGAAACCUGUCUCCCUCAGUCAGGGGGGAGUGUGGGUGGGCCCUUUCUCACUCUCCUGCCUCCACGGACUUGUGCCACUCCCGGGGAAUUGCCCUCGACUGGCCAUGGUCUGGAACAGCCUGGGAGCUUUUGGGCAGAACAGCUCAGAUGUAACCACCUGGCUGGGGGGGCACUUCUGCCUUUAGAGGGGUCUGUGUCCCUGGCCACUGCUCAAGCAAGGAGCUCUCUCAGGCUGCUGAAGGAGAGUCUAUGUUUCCUGCUGCAAGUCAGGGCUGCACCAACCCUGACAGAUGAGUCAAGUCUUAGAACAUAUGACAUUUAUAUUGAGAAACAAGAGAGACUGAUGUUUAAACUCUGGAAUGGACAAUAACACCCUGUGAAUAACCAUGGUCUUAGAGACUCCGGCUUGGUCAUGACAUUGAGAAAAGUCCUUUGCCAGCUCUUCUGGCAGCAUUGGCUCUGCCAGAUCUGCUUGAUCAUCCACAAGUUCAGCGGGAGAGGCCAGGACCAGAUCCAUCCACAAGUUCAAGGGGAGAGGCUAGGGGCCAGGGUCACCUCAAUUUUCACCCUGGGCCCGCAGCUCCAGGCCUCAGAAGCCAGCACGUCCUUUUCUACAGCUUGAGAAACUGGAUGUGACUGUCAACACUUGGACACCCAUGAGCCACCAACUAACAGGUUAAGAAGUUUUACCUAUUUCAUUUCAUUUAUUUAUUUAUUUAUUUUUAAUUGACAAAUUAUAAUUGUAUAUGUUAAUGAAAAUGUAAUGUUAUAAUAUAUGUAUACAGUGUAGAAUGAUUAAAUCAAGCUAAUUAACAUGUCCAUCACCUCAAAUACUUAUCAUUUUUUUUUUGUGGUGCAAACUUUGAAAUUUACUGUUUUAACUAUUUUGAAAUAUACAGUAUAUUAUUAACAAUAGUUGCCAUGCUGUGCAAUAUAUCUCAAAAAACUCAUUUCUUUUGUCUAGCUGAAACUUUGUACCAUUUGACCAACAACUCCCCAUCCCUCC
This 3648-nucleotide long non-coding RNA is filed under the name Homo sapiens (human). RNAcentral's name for it is "HSALNT0137628". The record is from RNAcentral. Lineage: Eukaryota; Metazoa; Chordata; Mammalia; Primates; Hominidae.